This is a long non-coding RNA of Lingula anatina, 843 nucleotides long. NCBI's taxonomy places the organism in Eukaryota, Metazoa, Brachiopoda, Lingulata, Lingulida, Lingulidae. The record is from RefSeq and is a predicted model, not a curated record.
AACAAGAGCAUGUAAAGCACAUGGUGGUUUCUACCUUGGAUCCAUUGGAGGUCCUGCAGCCAUCUUGGCCAGUGACUGUAUUAAGAAAGUGGAGGUUCUGGAGUACCCUGAACUUGGAAUGGAAGCCAUCUGGAAGAUCGAAGUGGAAGACUUCCCAGCAUUCAUUGUAGUGGACGAUAAAGGAAAUGAUUUCUUCGACCAAUGGUCUUUGGAGUAGAUUGCAGUGGAGGAAAAGGGCAAAUAUAACUACAAAAGCAGGGAAAAUAAUAACUGGACACUGUUUAUCGGAUGAGAACUGGAUAUGAUUUUUGGGCUAAAAGACUGUAAUUCUAACAUUUAUUUGCUGAAUUGUUCUUUUGGUACAUUGCAAACACAAUUUAUUUAAAAGUGGGCGGGGGGGUAUUGCAACAUUAUAAUUUUCAUAAUACAAUUUCAAAAGAUCUGCUUUAAUGUGUUUGUUGCAGUUUUGUUGAUGUCAGGAUUUACAAAUAAUCAAAUGUUGCUGACAUGUUCAUAUACUGUAUGUGUCUUUUUGAACUAUGUUCAGUUAACUGAUUGCUUUCAAUCUUGUGUAUUCAUGGCUUUAUUGACAUACUCAGUACACUGUGUAGCAAAGAGAGCUUUCUUUGAGUGCAUCUUUCUACUUGUUGUUUAAAGAAAACUGUAUCCACGCUGUGUAAUAGCAACUGUCUGCCUAAUAUAAUGAAAACAUCAGUUAGGAAGAAGUAGAAAAGUAGUGAUAUCUAAUAUCAGAGUAAAUGGUACUAAGUGACUAUAAUCUAGGAUCCAUCUAGAAUCAAACAUGACUUUAUAUCAGCAAGAUGUUAUAUUUAUAACAAAAAU